This is a long non-coding RNA of Dama dama (fallow deer), 3006 nucleotides long. RefSeq lists it as uncharacterized. The transcript has 4 exons. NCBI's taxonomy places the organism in Eukaryota, Metazoa, Chordata, Mammalia, Artiodactyla, Cervidae. The record is from RefSeq and is a predicted model, not a curated record.
ACUCCGGAGGAAGCCUCGCUCAGCCCCUUGUCUCCCGCCGGCUUGGCCGGCCCUGGGGACACCUGACCCACUUCCCCGAGGCCGCGUUGUGGCGGAGCGUCUUUGGUGGACGGCCCAGCCCGGGUCGUGCGGAGGGCAGCUCCCUCACCGUCGGAGCUGGCGACGUGUGUCCCGAGCCGGGGGCCGCGUCUCGUUCGGCCCGGCGUGGGGAAGCAAGGCCCGGGGCCUCUGGGUGAGGAGCCCAGGGCCUGGCUGGCAUCCGGUCCGGGGCCUGAGGUGCGGGGCCAGACGCAGCCACUGGGUCUGGAGGCUCCUCCAUGUGGACCCGCCGGCCAGCUCCUGGAGUGAGCGCACUGCCCCCGCGUCCGAGUCACGGGGGUGGCUCGGCCCAUGGGGGAAGGCUGCUGCUGGAGGGGGAGACCGACGUCACAGACACGCCGAGAUUGGCCGGGGGAAGAAUGAGAGCCUCCUGAGAUGGUCCUGAUUUUUAGAGGACAGGAUGUGGUGGUACCUGGCCGAGCAACAAGAGACGGAUAUAACGGAUAAAAAGAUCACUGAGGUUUCUGCUAGACUGAAGAGGGAAGAAGACAAUUCUCAAGAACCCGGGUCUGUGUGAUAGAAAAAGAGUCUGGACUCUCCUAGAUGCUGUCCUCAGAUUCUGGCACCGUGAUGCAGUCUACAGCCUCGAAGCGGCUUUGCACUUGACCUGGGGGAAGGCUGGGCUGCCUUGCCACCUUCUCUUUUCCUGCUCUUCAAUCACCUGGCUGCAGGUAAGGGCACCCAGGGCCUGAGUCCAUGAGUCAAAGGAGCCUGGAUAUAGAGACAGAGCCUUCAAGAAUGCCCGUGGGGACUCAGGGAGAUGGAGGAGGCAAAGGCGCACUGUGGAAAGGACAGAGGGAGGAUUUCUGGAGGUGAAGAAAAUAAACCAGGAAUGAAUCAGUUGUGGGAGGAGAAGGCGACUGCCCAGAGACCACAUGCAGCCAGGAGACAGCCUGUUUACCUCACCUGGUAUAAAGAAUAUCCUACUCAGUUGUCCACAUUUUUAAAUUAUAUCAUCUACAUACACAAAGGAGAUGGCCAGCUGAUCUUGAAAAAUCAGAUGUUCCCUGCCCCCACCCCGCUGGGCGUACCCUGAGCAGGGCGCCCCCUGUGGUUGGGCGGGUGCUGCUCCUCCCAGCCCUGGUCCCCUGGUCCCCAAACACACCUGCCUGCCGGGCCUAUGCCCCGUGACCCCACCCAGGGCUAGGGGACUGGGCACGGGACAGAAUGGGCAUGCAGGAAAUUGUUCCCCUGAGUACUGGCUGUCCAGGAAUCCCAGGGCGAGGAAGAAGGCGGUUCUAGCUGGAAAGAAAGUUUAAUCUGACGUUCUUGACUUUUAACAUUUGGAGACAUUCAGAAUCAGUGCACUUUCUGCAGCCCUGGCGCAAGUCCAAGCUUUUAAAUGGUCUUGACCUUGACUUUGAUGCCUGCGGACACUGCAGGGCCUCCCGAUUCCACCAGCCCUGCCCCUCCUUCCCGUCUGGUCCAGCCCUGCUCCUGAAGCUCCAGCAGACAAAUGCCUGCCUCUGCCAGCUCCUUGCCUCCUCCCGGCCGAUGUCCUGCCCUGCAUGGGCCCCUGGGGAGGCCCUUCAUUGUUAGUUCCCAAGCUCAUGCCGGGUUCCUUCUGAGUGCCAGGGGCCGCCAACGAGGAGGGCGUGAGUCAGACAGCACUCAGAGGAUGGCAGGAUGGGGGUCUCAGAGGUCAGGAGGGGCCUGGCUGGGACUUGACCCUGGGGCUGAGAAGAUAGGAUCCUUGCAUGACGAUGACAAGGGGCCUCUAGGGUGUUUAAUCAAGGAGGCACUCAAGUCAGAGCAGAGUUUUCAGAAAGACGUUCCGGGAAUGGACGUACGGGGUGGACCAGAAGUAUGGGUGGGCUGUCCCCACCCGCCUCUCCUCUUGACAGGGACAGAGUAAAGGGUCAAAGUAGGUGAUUAAAUAGUGAAUCCCACUCGGGGACUGUACAUAGAAAAAUAUGGGAGACCCCUGUAAAUUAGUGAUUACUCAAGAAAGCACAAAACCAAGCUUAACCACAAAACCAAGCAGGCUUGCUCAGCAACAAAACCAUGCAACAGAAGUACGAGACGAGCCCCCCAAACAAUAAAACCACCGUGGCAAGAGACCCACAAGCUGCCCAGUGAGCUCUGAAGGUUACUGAUCCCUAGGACACGCUCUCUGCACACGUGAAAAACAGUGAUUUGUGGACCUUGCUUGGCCAUGCAGAGACAAGAAAAUCCCCCUGCUCAGCCUGGAGGAGGAAGUGAUGGUGGAAGCAUGACAUCUCCUUGAGAAAGACAAAGAAGCUCUUCGGCCUCUCCCCACUUUUCUUUGGAUUAUAAAACCAUAGCCCACUAAGUUCUCGGGCGUGGCAUUUCUUGCCUCCUCCGCUGUAAGCCUCACAAGCGUCCUGUUCUAAUAAAUCACUUCUCACCUACCACCUCGCCUGUCCCUGAAUCGUCCUCUGCCCCGAGACAUACAGGAUUGUGGUUCCGGAGCUCUUCAGAGCCCCCGAAAUGGGGCCCAUCUCUUUUCUCUGCUCCUCCAGGUACCGUCACCCUGCCCCUGCAGAAAAGUCUCCGAGGUUGUUUUGCACUUCUCACGUAUCUGAGCUGCCUGCGCACCUGGACUCGAAUCCCAGUGAGGGCUGGUCCACGCUCCCCACCCCUCAGGUCCCCUGCGUGGAGACACAGUGACCUGGGCUCCACGGACCCUUCGAAGCGUGUGCCGCACAGUGGGGCGCAGACAGGGAGAACAGACACAGCAGGAGGAUGAGAGGCCAGCAUGGGAACACACACAUCACCACACGGAAAACAGACAGCCAGUGGGCUCUGCCGUAGGAGCUCAGACCGGGGCUCUGUAACAACCGGGGGGGUGGGGGGAUGGGGUGGGAGGCGGCAGGCAGGUUCAGGAGGGAGGAAGCAUAUGUAUCUCUGUGUGUGAUUCAUGUCGAUGUAUGGCAGAAACCAACG